UAUCUAUGUCAAAGAUCGAGUAUACUCUCUUCUCCUCCCGUUUCCCAUCCAUUAUGUGAAAAGGGGGCGGAGAAGCAGAUGGAGAGGCUGAAGGCGUGGCGAGAAGGUGACGCCCACCUGAGAAUUUAGUAAAUAUAUAA
Caenorhabditis elegans is the source of this 140-nucleotide non-coding RNA. The record is from Ensembl. Lineage: Eukaryota; Metazoa; Nematoda; Chromadorea; Rhabditida; Rhabditidae.